RNAcentral lists this ribosomal RNA (1140 nucleotides) under Triticum aestivum (bread wheat). RNAcentral's name for it is "partial small subunit ribosomal RNA". Lineage: Eukaryota; Viridiplantae; Streptophyta; Magnoliopsida; Poales; Poaceae. The record is from RNAcentral.
UCGGCCACCUCCUCCUUGUCAUCCCCUUCAUCCUCCUCAUCUUCCUCCAAGUCGUCACCAACCCUAAAGGGUUCUAUAGGCGGAGCCCCGAGCUCCUCAGCACGCCCCCUUCUCUCCCCCCUCCUCUGCUCCAUGCCGUCCUCCAUGGCGCCACGUGUUCACGCCCUCGCCUUCAAGCUGGUUCUCGCCUCGUCUCCGAUCUCAGCUUCCUGUCUCAUAACUAUGUACUCCCGAUCCCGCCUCCCUGACGCCUCACACCACCUGUUCGACGAAAUCCCUGUGGCCUAUCGAGACCCCUUCUGUUACUCCUCCAGCAUCGUUGGCCUCGCACAGAACGGCCGUCCGCGGGAGUCUCUGUCCGUCUUUGUUUGUAUGCGAUCCAAUGCCGUUGCUUCCACCAGGUACGCACUGUCGGGUGCACUCCGGGCGGCCGCGGCACUUGAUGCUCUAGAGCAGGCUUGUGGGAUUCAUGCGCAUGCAUUGGUGAUUGGACUUGAUGAAAAUGUGUCUGGAACCGCGCUGCUGGAUGCAUAUGGGAAGGCUGGGGUUGUGGAAGAUGCACGGAAGGUGUUUGAGGGGUUGGGUGAUGAUCGGAACUUGAUCACGUGGAAUGUCAUGCUGGCUGCACAGCAGGGGGAUGUCCAGACGGUUAACGGGUUGUUCCAUGAGAUGAUGGAGUCGUGCUUUGAGCCUGAUGGGCUGACGUUUCUUGCUCUUCUCACAGCAUGUAGCAAUGCUGGUGCAGCAAGAGAGGCCGAGUUUUGGUUGGAAGCAAUGCAUUCAAAGUACAAGGUGAAGCCUGGCCUUGAACAUUACACAUGUGUGAUUGCUGGAGUGGCUCGGGUGGGACGCCUUGAGGAUGCGGGUAUCAUUGCAUCUACAGUUCCAUGCAAGCCAGACGCAGCUGUGUGGCGGACACUCCUAACAGGCUGCGUGGUUCACCGUAAGGAUGAUAUGGCGGGGAUCAUGGGGCAGUGCCUAUUGGAGAUUGACCCAAAGGAUGAUUCAGCCAAUGUGAUGCUUGCCAAUGUCGACUCCACAACAGUAAGGAAGGAUGAGGUGGCUGAGGCAUGGACUGCAACGAGGCACUGCGAAGUCAGAAAAGAAGUCGGUCGAAGUUGGGUUGAGGUGAGAGGAUAG